This 510-nucleotide ribosomal RNA is filed under the name Platambus stygius. Its description in RNAcentral is "partial 16S ribosomal RNA". The stretch from base 387 to 510 matches the Rfam family "Bacterial large subunit ribosomal RNA", at positions 2473 to 2597 of the family's 2925-position model. Lineage: Eukaryota; Metazoa; Arthropoda; Insecta; Coleoptera; Dytiscidae. The record is from RNAcentral.
GUCCUUUUGAAUUUAAUUUAAGGUUUAACCUGCCCACUGAAAUUAUUUAAAGGGCCGCAGUAAUUUGACUGUGCAAAGGUAGCAUAAUCAUUAGUUUUUUAAUUAAAAGCUUGUAUGAAGGGUUGGACGAGGUAAAUUCUGUCUCUAUUUAAUUUAAUAUAGAAUUUAAUUUUUAAGUUAAAAAGCUUAAAUUUUUUUAAAAGACGAGAAGACCCUAUAGAUCUUUAUAUUAAAAUUAUUAAUUUUAAUUAAGAAUAUUUUAUUUUUUAAUAUUUAUAAUAUUUUAUUGGGGUAAUAGAAAGAUUCAAUUAAUUCUUUUUUUUAUAAACAUUUAUUAAUGAUUAUAUGAUCCAAUUUUAUUGAUUAAAAGAUUAAGUUACCUUAGGGAUAACAGCGUAAUUUUUUUAGAGAGUUCAUAUCGAUAAAAAAGUUUGCGACCUCGAUGUUGGAUUAAAAAUUAUCUUAGGUGCAGAAGUUUAAGAUUUUGGUCUGUUCGACCAUUAAAUUUUU